UGGCGAACGGGUGAGUAACGCGUGAGGAACCUGCCUCAAAGAGGGGGACAACAGUUGGAAACGACUGCUAAUACCGCAUAAGCCCACGACCCGGCAUCGGGAAGAGGGAAAAGGAGCAAUCCGCUUUGAGAUGGCCUCGCGUCCGAUUAGCUAGUUGGUGAGGUAACGGCCCACCAAGGCGACGAUCGGUAGCCGGACUGGGAGGUUGAACGGCCACAUUGGGACUGAGACACGGCCCAG
RNAcentral lists this ribosomal RNA (240 nucleotides) under uncultured bacterium. Its description in RNAcentral is "partial 16S ribosomal RNA". It matches the Rfam family "Bacterial small subunit ribosomal RNA", at positions 96 to 334 of the family's 1533-position model. The record is from RNAcentral.